AAGCAUAUCUUGUGUCCCGAUACCAUCAAGGACACUAGGCGUCUGAGGAUCCACUUUUUAAAGCACAUCACCUUGAAAAUCCCUCAGACGCCAUGGCAACACAUCGUUUUAUCUUUGUUAUCAGUAAGCAAGUUGCCACUCGUGCUUCAGCUGACUAAUCCUGCUCAUCAUAUUGAACAUGGGGUGUGUAGCGUGCAGCUUCUUCCACGAAAAACCAGCCGACAUUAGUGACCUCAUCUGUCAGGCGUAAAGUAAAAAUGAUAAAUGUAAUGUUCAUACAUUAGCCCAAAAACAACGGAAGUUUGGCAAAAAUACAACAGGAAGUCAAGACUCUCAUUCAGGCUUAAUUGCAGGAAGAAAUCCCCUCCGGACUGUCUGCGAUAGCCUGGAACAUUGGGAAAGAUGCCGCUCAGCGCACGGGAUAGUAGUGACAAACAUAGCAAGAGGGGAGGAUGACUCUGCCUGGCCUACUUUUAAGGUUUCUUAAAUAUUCAUCAGCCCACUUCCAAAACCUGCACGUCACUUUUCCUUGUUUUGAAAGAGCCUAUCCAUCAGGAUGAGGCUUUUGUUUUGUUCCGUGUCAGACUCUCUGGAUGAUGGAUGUCUCUUUGAAUGCGGGGUAAAACCUUCCACACUAACGAGGGCUUGUUGGGUUUUUAUGAACUCUGCGUGUGCCACAGCGGAGCCCAAAGAGAGCCACAAAGCGCUAAAACAGACAGGCAGCCGAGGAAAAAAUCAAUAAGGAAAAGAUUAUUUUACAGAAAAAAAAAAUCUGUGAGAAAAAGCAAAACUUUGAUUAUUAUGUUUCGACAUAACCAUCAAUACUAAAGGAGAAGAAGAGUUUUUUACUUUUAAAGUGAGGUCUUCAACAUUUACCUGGAUUUAGGAAAAAUAAGAAAAAUAAACAAAUAAUUAACUUUUUUUAAAUUAGCUGCUUGAGGAAUUUUUUUCAAUUGGUCAGAAAUAUUUUUGGUUUGAAUUCUCUAUUAGCCAAAGUGAGGUGGUAUUUCCUGCACGCCCUCACAGUUUGAGCUUGAUGAAUUUUGGCAUUGUCACGUUGGAAUAUCCCCGUUCCAUCAACAGAGAGGGGGGGGAAGUACUACGGGAAAACUCAUUCAGUCUAAUGAGGCAGUCAGCUGACCAGACUUGUUGCUACCUGAAACAUUAAUCAGAGCAGUACUUUUCCGCUGGAGGCCCUUUGUUUCAUUUACUCUUUUUUUUAUAUAUAAAAAAUUGUGUUUUUGGUGUUUUUAACGUGUUCUUGUGACAUUUUUUCUCAUGAUGGAGGACAUAAAUGAGGAAAUUGAAGCUUAAAAAAGCAUUCCUGUGUAUUUAUUUAUUUAUUCAAAUCAUUGUGAAUCCAGAGCAAAUGAAAAUAUGCCGUUGGGAAAAAACUUGUAUUUGUGACAGAAAUACACUGGGCGACUAGAUUUUCAUUUUCCUCAUCUGAGCUGCUAUCUGGUUAAAAAAUGUACGGCUGGAUAACUCACCAUUUUUGUUGCACCGGUAUUGUUUUGUGGGGGGUUGUAAUGGGCUGUAAACUAGCAGGACAGAGAGUAAACAGAUAGGUGACGGGAAAUGGGAGCGGGCUUACACUCCGCCCACAACUUACUCAGAGAGGAAUUUCCAAUGAACUACUGCAGAAACUAUGUCCUGGAAAAACUGUGUUUUUUAUGGGUCUAUU
This is a long non-coding RNA of Oryzias melastigma (Indian medaka), 1684 nucleotides long. RefSeq lists it as uncharacterized. NCBI's taxonomy places the organism in Eukaryota, Metazoa, Chordata, Actinopteri, Beloniformes, Adrianichthyidae. The transcript has 3 exons. The record is from RefSeq and is a predicted model, not a curated record.